UCCUUAGAUGUUCUGGGCCGCACGCGCGCUACACUGAUGAAUGCAACGAGCUCUACCCUUGACCGAAAGGCCCGGGUAAACUUGUGAAACUUCAUCGUGAUGGGGAUAGAUUAUUGCAAUUAUUAAUCUUCAACGAGGAAUUCCUAGUAAGCGCGAGUCAUCAGCUCGCGUUGAUUACGUCCCUGCCCUUUGUACACACCGCCCGUCGCUCCUACCGAUUGAAUGGUCCGGUGAAAUCUUCGGAUUGCUGACCAAGAUCCAGCAAUGGAGCUUGGUUGCGAGAAGUUGAUUAAACCUUAUUAUUUAGAGGAAGGAGAAGUCGUAACA
This 327-nucleotide ribosomal RNA is filed under the name uncultured eukaryote. Its description in RNAcentral is "partial 18S ribosomal RNA". It matches the Rfam family "Eukaryotic small subunit ribosomal RNA", at positions 1470 to 1796 of the family's 1831-position model. The record is from RNAcentral.